AGAGUUUGAUCAUGGCUCAGAUUGAACGCUGGCGGCACGCCUAACACAUGCAAGUCGAGCGGUAACAUGAUUUGUAGCAAUACAGAUUGAUGACGAGCGGCGGACGGGUGAGGAACACGUAGGAACCUACCCUCAAGCGGGGGACAACCAAGGGAAACUUUGGCUAAUACCGCAUAAACUCGGAAGAGAAAAGUUGCCGCAAGGUGACACUUGAGGAAGGGCCUGCGUCCGAUUAGCUAGUUGGUGAGGUAAAAGCUCACCAAGGCGAUGAUCGGUAACUGGUCUGAGAGGACGGCCAGUCACACUGGGACUGAGACACGGCCCAGACUCCUACGGGAGGCAGCAGUGGGGAAUCUUGGACAAUGGGGGCAACCCUGAUCCAGCGAUGCCGCGUGGGUGAAGAAGGCCUUCGGGUUGUAAAGCCCUUUAGGUUGGGACGAAGUGUGGUGGAGGAUAAUGCCAUCAUAUUGACGGUACCGACAGAAUAAGCACCGGCAAACUCUGUGCCAGCAGCCGCGGUAAUACAGAGGGUGCGAGCGUUAAUCGGAGUUACUGGGCGUAAAGGGCGCGUAGGCGGUAAGAUGUGUGUGAUGUGAAAGCCCCGGGCUUAACCUGGGAAGAGCAUCGCAAACUAUCUAACUGGAGUAUAUGAGAGGGUGGCGGAAUUUCCGGUGUAGCGGUGAAAUGCGUAGAGAUCGGAAGGAACGUCGAUGGCGAAGGCAGCCACCUGGCAUAAUACUGACGCUGAAGUGCGAAAGCGUGGGGAGCGAACAGGAUUAGAUACCCUGGUAGUCCACGCUGUAAACGAUGAGAACUAGAUGUUGGAAGGGGAACCUUUCAGUAUCGAAGCUAACGCGAUAAGUUCU
Molecule: ribosomal RNA, 866 nt
Filed under: uncultured Pseudomonadota bacterium
Lineage: Bacteria; Pseudomonadati; Pseudomonadota
Description: bacterial SSU rRNA
Rfam family: Bacterial small subunit ribosomal RNA
Source: RNAcentral